Ictidomys tridecemlineatus (thirteen-lined ground squirrel) is the source of this 702-nucleotide non-coding RNA. The record is from RefSeq and is a predicted model, not a curated record. Lineage: Eukaryota; Metazoa; Chordata; Mammalia; Rodentia; Sciuridae.
GUGCAGGGAAGCAAGACCAAUCUAAAAGCCCUGAGGCAAGAGGACUGCAUAUUCAAGCUACACUAAGAUGACAAACUGAACUGCAGUGAGAGAAAAAAAUGAACUUCGAUUGAACCCAGGACCUCAUGCACUCUACCACUGAGUCACAUCCCAGGUAUUCUUGAUUUUUUCAAUAAUGGCAAAUACAUUUCUUCAAAACAUGGCACAAGUCAACAAUGAUUGAGAGGACCAAACAAACAAGACUAUAAGCCAAACUGGUAUCACCAGAUCUUGUAGAACCUCUAAGACAGAGUGGGAUAGGAGAAGAUUUAAACAGAGAUGGAUGCUCCUGAAGAUUUAAACAGGGAUGACAAGUAACUACAGCCUGACAAGGCACAGUGACCAUUUUGUUCACUUCUGAGAAAGUAACUCAAAUUUAACUGAUCUCAGCAAAUGUUUAGUAAUGAAGUAAAAACUGGAAUUUUCUGAAAAUUAGUGUCAUGACAGUAGAUAAGAAAACUAAUUUGCUCUUCUACCAGUUUUUAGUUUUGCUCACUCUCAGCUGCUAGCUAGCACAUGCUGUCCAGCAGUCUGUCUAUGCUACCUAGUGUCCUUUCUUUGGCUAUAUAACUGGCUGCAACUCACCAAUGACCACUAUAAGCAACUAUCAGCUGUCAUUUGGCUAAGGCAAUGAAAUUAAAUAAAAUGAAUGCUCACAGUGAA